UGGCCCGGUGGUAGAGUCGCUGCCUGGCAAGCAGUAGAUGCAGGUUCAAGUCCCGC
This 56-nucleotide transfer RNA is filed under the name Strongylocentrotus purpuratus (purple sea urchin). Lineage: Eukaryota; Metazoa; Echinodermata; Echinoidea; Camarodonta; Strongylocentrotidae. The record is from Rfam by way of RNAcentral.